ACUCCUACGGGAGGCAGCAGUGGGGAAUCUUAGACAAUGGGGGCGAACCCUGAUCUAGCCAUGCCGCGUGAGUGAUGAAGGCCUUAGGGUCGUAAAGCUCUUUCGCCAGGGAUGAUAAUGACAGUACCUGGUAAAGAAACCCCGGCCUAACUCCGUGCCAGCAGCCGCGGUAAUACGGAGGGGGUUAGCGUUGUUCGGAAUUACUGGGGCGUAAAGCGCGCGUAGGCGGACUAGAAAGUUGGGGGUGAAAUCCCGGGGCUCAACCUCGGAACUGCCUUCAAAACUCCUAGUCUAGAGUUCGAGAGAGGUGAGUGGAAUUCCAAGUGUAGAGGUGAAAUUCGUAGAUAUUUGGAGGAACACCAGUGGCGAAGGCGGCUCACUGGCUCGAUACUGACGCUGAGGUGCGAAAGUGUGGGGAGCAAACAGGAUUAGAUACCCUGGUAGGAUAGCG
RNAcentral lists this ribosomal RNA (451 nucleotides) under uncultured bacterium. RNAcentral's name for it is "bacterial SSU rRNA". It matches the Rfam family "Bacterial small subunit ribosomal RNA", at positions 335 to 799 of the family's 1533-position model. The record is from RNAcentral.